This 1435-nucleotide ribosomal RNA is filed under the name uncultured Bacteroidota bacterium. RNAcentral describes it as "uncultured Bacteroidetes bacterium 16S ribosomal RNA". It matches the Rfam family "Bacterial small subunit ribosomal RNA". Lineage: Bacteria; Pseudomonadati; Bacteroidota. The record is from RNAcentral.
GAACGCUAGCGGGAGGCCUAACACAUGCAAGCCGAGCGGUAGAGUCUCUUCGGAGACUUGAGAGCGGCGCACGGGUGCGGAACACGUGUGCAACCUGCCUUUAUCUGGGGGAUAGCCUUUCGAAAGGAAGAUUAAUACCCCAUAAUAUAUUGAGUGGCAUCACUUGAUAUUGAAAACUCCGGUGGAUAGAGAUGGGCACGCGCAAGAUUAGAUAGUUGGUGAGGUAACGGCUCACCAAGUCAGCGAUCUUUAGGGGGCCUGAGAGGGUGAUCCCCCACACUGGUACUGAGACACGGACCAGACUCCUACGGGAGGCAGCAGUGAGGAAUAUUGGACAAUGGGUGAGAGCCUGAUCCAGCCAUCCCGCGUGAAGGACGACGGCCCUAUGGGUUGUAAACUUCUUUUGUAUAGGGAUAAACCUAGAUACGUGUAUCUAGCUGAAGGUACUAUACGAAUAAGCACCGGCUAACUCCGUGCCAGCAGCCGCGGUAAUACGGAGGGUGCAAGCGUUAUCCGGAUUUAUUGGGUUUAAAGGGUCCGUAGGCUGAUUUGUAAGUCAGUGGUGAAAUCUCACAGCUUAACUGUGAAACUGCCAUUGAUACUGCAAGUCUUGAGUGUUGUUGAAGUAGCUGGAAUAAGUAGUGUAGCGGUGAAAUGCAUAGAUAUUACUUAGAACACCAAUUGCGAAGGCAGGUUACUAAGCAACAACUGACGCUGAUGGACGAAAGCGUGGGGAGCGAACAGGAUUAGAUACCCUGGUAGUCCACGCCGUAAACGAUGCUAACUCGUUUUUGGGUUUUCGGAUUCAGAGACUAAGCGAAAGUGAUAAGUUAGCCACCUGGGGAGUACGAACGCAAGUUUGAAACUCAAAGGAAUUGACGGGGGCCCGCACAAGCGGUGGAUUAUGUGGUUUAAUUCGAUGAUACGCGAGGAACCUUACCAAGGCUUAAAUGGGAAAUGACAGGUUUAGAAAUAGACUUUUCUUCGGACAUUUUUCAAGGUGCUGCAUGGUUGUCGUCAGCUCGUGCCGUGAGGUGUUAGGUUAAGUCCUGCAACGAGCGCAACCCCUGUCACUAGUUGCCAUCAUUAAGUUAGGGACUCUAGUGAGACUGCCUACGCAAGUAGAGAGGAAGGUGGGGAUGACGUCAAAUCAUCACGGCCCUUACGCCUUGGGCCACACACGUAAUACAAUGGCCGGUACAGAGGGCAGCUACACAGUGAUGUGAUGCAAAUCUCGAAAGCCGGUCUCAGUUCGGAUUGGAGUCUGCAACUCGACUCUAUGAAGCUGGAAUCGCUAGUAAUCGCGCAUCAGCCAUGGCGCGGUGAAUACGUUCCCGGGCCUUGUACACACCGCCCGUCAAGCCAUGGAAGUCUGGGGUACCUGAAGUCGGUGACCGUAACAGGAGCUGCCUAGGGUAAAACAGGUAACUAGGGC